RNAcentral lists this long non-coding RNA (343 nucleotides) under Erythranthe guttata (spotted monkey flower). RNAcentral's name for it is "long non-coding RNA (EGUT_LNC001232)". Lineage: Eukaryota; Viridiplantae; Streptophyta; Magnoliopsida; Lamiales; Phrymaceae. The record is from RNAcentral.
ACACACACACACACACAUAUAUAUAUACACAUAAAUUAAAUGGUUAUAAAUUCAGCACGUAGUUGAGUUUACCAUUUAUGAUUUAUCUAUAAGAUUGCUUCCCAUCUCCCAUCCUGUCUUCAUAUCAGCCAGCCAAUCUACUGUCACUCAUCCCCAUUGUAACUACCCUGGUCCCUCUUUCUUUCUUUUUUCUUCUCCAUAUCAUCACGUAACUCUGUUACAAGAUAAACCCUCUUUUUUAUUACUACUAAUCACACCACUUUUACACUUGUUUUGAAUAAACCCGAUUUCGAGUUUUUGGAUGCUACCUUGAAUAAUGUUGAGAUCGAGUACGAACUUUCGC